GGCGGGGUUAAACAUGUUAGCAGGAUUAUGUAUUGAAGUGAAACUUCUAAAACAAAUUUAAUGUACACUGUUCUCUUUGAAGUGUUUGUAGUUGUGCACCACGGUUUCAUUUUUUUUUUCUCUUGGGUGUCUACGGCAGUGGUGAUUUAUGACAUCUGCAACUCCGCACUAACCAUUCUAUCUUAUACAAGGCAUACUUUUUUUUUUUUACAUCUAAACUGUUUGUGCACUAUCACAUUUGAUCUGUAGGGUAGGUUGCAGGGUUAUUAGAUACCUUUUUUUGUCAUACACAGUAUGGAACAAUUUGAUCAAAUAAAAAUAGUAAUAGUUCAGAGCAAGUUCCUGAUUUAGAGAUUUGAUAUUACGGGAUUGACAAGACAUUUCAAAUUGCACAUUGUAUAAUCAAUCAUUAAAACACCCUGGAGAUUAC
RNAcentral lists this long non-coding RNA (430 nucleotides) under Mytilus galloprovincialis (Mediterranean mussel). The record is from RNAcentral. Lineage: Eukaryota; Metazoa; Mollusca; Bivalvia; Mytilida; Mytilidae.